GAGUUUGAUCGUGGCUCAGGACGAACGCUGGCGGCGCGCUUAACACAUGCAAGUCGAGCGAGAACCAGACCUUCGGGUCUGGGGACAGCGGCGAACGGGUGAGUAACACGUGGGUAAUCAACCCUCGGUACUGGGAUAGCCCGGGGAAACCCGGAUUAAUACCGGAUGGCCCUUCGAAUCUUCGGGUUUGAAGGAAAAGGUAGCUUCGGCCUCCGACCGAGGACGAGCCCGCGGCGGAUUAGCUUGUUGGUGGGGUAACGGCCUACCAAGGCGACGAUCCGUAGCUGGUCUGAGAGGACGAUCAGCCACACUGGGACUGAGACACGGCCCAGACUCCUACGGGAGGCAGCAGUGGGGAAUCUUGCGCUAAUGCGGGAAACCGUGACGCAGCGACGCCGCGUGGGGGAAGAAGGCCUUCGGGUUGUAA
This 427-nucleotide ribosomal RNA is filed under the name uncultured Clostridia bacterium. RNAcentral describes it as "bacterial SSU rRNA". It matches the Rfam family "Bacterial small subunit ribosomal RNA", at positions 9 to 428 of the family's 1533-position model. The record is from RNAcentral. Lineage: Bacteria; Bacillati; Bacillota; Clostridia.